Molecule: long non-coding RNA, 1391 nt
Filed under: Homo sapiens (human)
Lineage: Eukaryota; Metazoa; Chordata; Mammalia; Primates; Hominidae
Description: non-protein coding lnc-ESRP1-2:2
Source: RNAcentral
AGAGCUACAGCGGUCUCCGGGUGGCGAAGUGCGGAGACGGGGUUUUGGAGACGGUGGAUGGAGGAGGGGGAGGGAAAGCUGCCAACUUUGGAUACCAACCCCGUACACCCACCGAAGGGGAUGUCCCACUUUUUCCAGCGCUGGGAGCAAAAAGAUAACAGUGAGCGAGGUUGAAAAGUAAGACAUUGAUUUAAAUAGAAGAAAAACUGUUGUUUCAACCAACGAAGAGAUUCUUUGUUUUCUUAUCUGUAAAAUGUGAAAAAUCGUACCUAACCUACAGGGUGAUUGUGAGGAGUAAUUGAAAUAAAAUUCGAGGAAUUGUGUAACGUGAAGUACCAUGAACAAUAAAACAGGAGGCAGAAUGAAAAGUAAGCCUCUCUGUCGGGUGUUGAUGAGCUUUGGAGCAACGAGAUAAACUCAGCGGGUUUGGUAGUCUAAAUGGCACAAACCCUUAGCAGAGCAACUAGGAAAUAGCUUGUAAAAUUACACGUGCCUACCACUCUUCUAGGAAAAUUCUCGCCCACGUAUCUACAAAUACAAGAAUAUUCAUAGCAAACUUUAUAAGUUGCAAAAGAGCAGGAAACAUAAGUGCCAUUGACAGAAGUAAUAAGUAAAUAGUGGCGUAUUUAUAUAAUAGUAUAUAGCAGGUACGAAGAAUGAACCAGUGCUAUGUUUACUAGCAUGAAAAACCCAAAAAACAGGGUUGGUGGGCGCUUUGGCUCACGCCUGUAAUCCAGCACUUAGGGAGGAUGAAGCGGGAGGAUCGCUUGAGCCCAGGAGUUGGAGAACUGCCUGGGCAAUAUAGCGAGACCCCGUUAUUCACAAAAAGAAAAAAAAAAGACACAAACCAAAACAAAACAAGUUUAACUCCUCUCAUCGCAAGCCGGGUGCGGUGGCGUGUUCCUGUGGUCCCAACUUCUCGGGAAGCUGAGACAGGAGAAUCUCUUAAGCCCAGGAGUUGGAGGCCAGUGGGGACACCCAUCUCUUAGAAAAGGAAAUAAAAAAUAUAUAGUGUAAAAUAACAUCUAUAUAUUUAAAAACGUGCAAAAGAAUAUAAAAUUUUAGGAGUGUACAUAUGUCAUGAAAUUAUAAAGUCAUGUAUUGGAGUAACUAAAAUUUCAAGAUAGUGGUAAACUGGAAGGAGAUGUAAUGGAGAAGAACAGAAAGGCUUCACAUGCCUUGGUAAUGUUUUGUUAUUUAGGUUAAUGUUAAUUUCACAAGCAUGCCUUAUAUUAUUGUUUGUACCUUCUGGUAUGUCUGAAAUAUUUAAUAAUAAAUGAAUUUCUAAAGUAAAUCUCCUCUCCACAUCCUUCCUCAGCCAUCCAGUUUCCUCUAUUAGCUAGCUAUAGUUUAUCUUUUAUUAUUUGUUCUUGCAUUGAUAUUUAUUGCUU